GACGAACGCUGGCGGCGUGCUUAACACAUGCAAGUCGAACGGAAAGGCCCUGCUUGCAGGGUGCUCGAGUGGCGAACGGGUGAGUAACACGUGGGUGAUCUGCCCCUUACUUUGGGAUAAGCCUGGGAAACUGGGUCUAAUACUGGAUAGGACCAUGCUGUAGGUGGUGUGGUGGAAAGAUUAGUUUCGGUAAGGGAUGAGCUCGCGGCCUAUCAGCUUGUUGGUGGGGUAAUGGCCUACCAAGGCGUCGACGGGUAGCCGGCCUGAGAGGGUGGACGGCCACAUUGGGACUGAGAGACGGCCCAGACUCCUACGGGAGGCAGCAGAGGGGAAUAUUGCACAAUGGGCGCAAGCCUGAUGCAGCGACGCCGCGUGGGGGAUGACGGCCUUCGGGUUGUAAACUCCUUUCAGCCAUGACGAAGCCCUUGUGGUGACGGUAGUGGUAGAAGAAGCACCGGCUAACUACGUG
RNAcentral lists this ribosomal RNA (469 nucleotides) under uncultured bacterium. Its description in RNAcentral is "partial 16S ribosomal RNA". It matches the Rfam family "Bacterial small subunit ribosomal RNA", at positions 28 to 507 of the family's 1533-position model. The record is from RNAcentral.